UUAUUUAUUUGAUUAUGUACAUAGGUGUCACAAAUAAUAUUUUGGUGGAAAAUUGAUUGAAAAACAAAAUAAAAAAAUAUCUAGAUAUUUAUGCUUCCUUAGUCAUUAAGCUAAGACCAAGCUUAUUUCCUAUAAAUUAAGAGCCUUGUCUCAAUUCCACACACACACACACACACAUACCAGCAGCCAAGGAGAGGGAGAGAGAAGGAGAGUGUGAUUAGAGGGAAGUAGAGAAGAAGAAGAAAAGAAAAAGAAGAAAAUAAAAGGAAGAAAAUGGUGCCUUUUAGGGUCAAGGUGAUGAAGCAGUUUACAAUGGUGAAGGUUAUUUCGAAGGCAAACAAGAUGAAGUGUUGGAGCUGUGGUUCAUUUGAAGACUUAAGACUGGUUGUUUUUUUUUCCUUUUGACUUUUGGUUUGGCAAUGUUUUGGUAAUCCUGUAAUGAAACAUAAACGAAUUAUCUGUGAUAUUAACUCUGGUUAUAUAUGUAUAUUAAGAUGUUCUGGUUAUCUAUCCUACUUGUGUUGUA
Non-coding RNA from Camellia sinensis, 526 nucleotides. The record is from RefSeq and is a predicted model, not a curated record. NCBI's taxonomy places the organism in Eukaryota, Viridiplantae, Streptophyta, Magnoliopsida, Ericales, Theaceae.